UACGACUACAUAUCAGGCAUAUCAAUAAGCGGAGGAAAAGAAACUAACUAGGAUUCCCUCAGUAACGGCGAGUGAAGCGGGAAGAGCUCAAAUUUGAAAUCUUCAAGGUUCUACCUUGACGAAUUGUAGUUUAAAGAAGUGUUUUCUGUUGGAGUUUUCGGUAAAAGUUCUUUGGAAUAGGACAUCAUAGAGGGUGAGAAUCCCGUAUUUGACCAUUUAUUUCAGCUGUGUGAUACACUUUCAAAGAGUCGGAUUGUUUGGGAAUGCAGUCCAAAAUGGGUGGUAAAUUUCAUCUAAAGCUAAAUACUUGGCGAAAGACCGAUAGCGAACAAGUACCGUGAGGGAAAGAUGAAAAGAACUUUGAAAAGAGAGUUAAACAGUACGUGAAAUUGUCAAAAGGGAAGCGUUUGACACCAGUGUUGUUUAGUUCGAAAAUCAAUUAAAUAAUUUUUGAUUUUGUAUUGUUAAGACCUUAUCAGCUUACGGUACUUUUUUCUUAUUCUUUUUAAUGCACUUUUCGUUUAACAAGUCAACAUCAGUUUCUUUUGUUGUAAAAAGGUCAUUGGAAGGUGGCUUUCUUUUCGGAGAAAGUGUUUAUAGCCUUUGACUCCUGCAAUCGGAGAGACUGAGGUCUGCAGCGUAGAUCCUUCUUGGAUUAGAUUCAUUUGUGCUAAGUUAUAGUUUUUCAUAGACAACUUGUUGACUAUGAUUAAUCAUGUAGCUUACUCGUUUGCGCUAUUUUACCUACGCUUAGGAUGUUGACGCGCGUGUGUGCGUG
Molecule: ribosomal RNA, 778 nt
Filed under: uncultured Neocallimastigales
Lineage: Eukaryota; Fungi; Neocallimastigomycota; Neocallimastigomycetes; Neocallimastigales
Description: partial large subunit ribosomal RNA
Rfam family: Eukaryotic large subunit ribosomal RNA
Source: RNAcentral